RNAcentral lists this ribosomal RNA (393 nucleotides) under uncultured bacterium. Its description in RNAcentral is "partial 16S ribosomal RNA". It matches the Rfam family "Bacterial small subunit ribosomal RNA", at positions 523 to 918 of the family's 1533-position model. The record is from RNAcentral.
AUACGGAGGAUGCAAGCGUUAUCCGGAUUUAUUGGGUUUAAAGGGUGCGUAGGCUGUCUGUCAAGUCAGGGGUGAAAUGCCACAGCUUAACUGUGGAACUGCCUUUGAUACUGGCAGGCUGGAAUACGGUAGACGUGGGUGGAAUGUGUUGUGUAGCGGUGAAAUGCAUAGAUAUUACUCAGAACACCGAUUGCGAAGGCAUCUCACGAAUCCGUCAUUGACGCUGAGGCACGAAAGCGUGGGGAUCAAACAGGAUUAGAUACCCUGGUAGUCCACGCAGUAAACGAUGAUAACUAACCGUCGGCGAUACAAUGUCGGUGGCCAAGCGAAAGCGAUAAGUUAUCCACCUGGGGAGUACGUUCGCAAGAAUGAAACUCAAAUGAAUUGGCGGGG